CCUACGGGAGGCAGCAGUGAGGAAUAUUGGUCAAUGGCCGAGAGGCUGAACCAGCCAAGUCGCGUGAGGGAAGACGGCCCUACGGGUUGUAAACCUCUUUUGUCGGGGAGCAAAGCGAGUCACGUGUGACUCAUUGAGAGUACCCGAAGAAAAAGCAUCGGCUAACUCCGUGCCAGCAGCCGCGGUAAUACGGAGGAUGCGAGCGUUAUCCGGAUUUAUUGGGUUUAAAGGGUGCGUAGGCGGUCCGUUAAGUCAGCGGUAAAAUUGCGGGGCUCAACCCCGUCGAGCCGUUGAAACUGGCAGACUUGAGUUGGCGAGAAGUACGCGGAAUGCGCGGUGUAGCGGUGAAAUGCAUAGAUAUCGCGCAGAACUCCGAUUGCGAAGGCAGCGUACCGGCGCCAGACUGACGCUGAGGCACGAAAGCGUGGGGAUCGAACAGGAUUAGAUACCCCAGUAGUC
Molecule: ribosomal RNA, 459 nt
Filed under: uncultured bacterium
Lineage: Bacteria
Description: partial 16S ribosomal RNA
Rfam family: Bacterial small subunit ribosomal RNA
Source: RNAcentral